Brachypodium distachyon (stiff brome) is the source of this 137-nucleotide non-coding RNA. Lineage: Eukaryota; Viridiplantae; Streptophyta; Magnoliopsida; Poales; Poaceae. The record is from Rfam.
GGGGUGCUUUUUCCGUCCAACAAAGUAUGUCUCAACUCUAACUAAAUUUGAAUGCAUCUAUACACUAAAUUAAGUUUAGAUACAUUUAAAUUUUAGCAAAUUUUGAGACAUCUUCUGUUGGACGGAGAGAGUAUAAG